Molecule: ribosomal RNA, 484 nt
Filed under: uncultured bacterium
Lineage: Bacteria
Description: partial 16S ribosomal RNA
Rfam family: Bacterial small subunit ribosomal RNA
Source: RNAcentral
AUUGAACGCUGGCGGCAGGCCUAACACAUGCAAGUCGAGCGGACGGACGGAGAUUGCUCUCGGCUGCCGCGGGCGACGGGCGGGUGAGGAACAGGAGGAUAACUGACCUAGGAGGCUGGGGUCAGUACGGGGGAGCUAAUCCAGCACCCGACCAUAUGGUGAACGGGGGGGAUCAUUGGUGCUAGCGCUUUCUGAUGUCACUAGGACGGAUUAGCUAGUUGGAGGGGUAAAGGCCUACCAAGGCGACGAUCCGUAGCUGCUCUGAGAGGAUGAUCUGCCACACUGGAACUGAGACACGGUCCAGACUCCUACGGGAGGCAGCAGUGGGGAAUAUUGGACAAUGGGCGAAAGCCUGAUCCAGCCAUGCCGCGUGUGUGAAGAAGGUCUUCGGAUUGUAAAGCUCUUUUAGUUGGGAGGAAGAGCAGUAAGUGAAUACCUGGCUGUUUUGACGGUACCUACAGAAUAAGCACCGGCUAACUUCGUG